AGUGAACGCUGGCGGUAGGCCUAACACAUGCAAGUCGAACGGCAGCACAGUAAGAGCUUGCUCUUACGGGUGGCGAGUGGCGGACGGGUGAGGAAUACAUCGGAAUCUACUUUUUCGUGGGGGAUAACGUAGGGAAACUUACGCUAAUACCGCAUACGACCUACGGGUGAAAGCAGGGGAUCUUCGGACCUUGCGCGAUUGAAUGAGCCGAUGUCGGAUUAGCUAGUUGGCGGGGUAAAGGCCCACCAAGGCGACGAUCCGUAGCUGGUCUGAGAGGAUGAUCAGCCACACUGGAACUUAGACACCGUCCCAACUCCUACGGGAGGCAGCAGUGUGGAAUAUUGGACAAUGGGGCCAAACCUUAUCCAGCCAUACCGCGUGGGUUAAGAAGGCCUUCCGGUUGUAAAACCCUUUUGUUGGGAAAGAAAAGCAUCAGGUUAAUACCCCGCUGUUCUGACGGUACCCAAAGAAUAAGCACCGGCUAACUUCGUG
Molecule: ribosomal RNA, 492 nt
Filed under: uncultured bacterium
Lineage: Bacteria
Description: partial 16S ribosomal RNA
Rfam family: Bacterial small subunit ribosomal RNA
Source: RNAcentral